UACAGAGGGUGCAAGCGUUGUUCGGAAUUACUGGGCGUAAAGCGCGUGUAGGCGGCGACGUGAGUCGGAUGUGAAAUCCCUCGGCUUAACCGAGGAAGUGCAUUCGAUACUGCGUUGCUUGAGUGCCGGAGGGGAUGGCGGAAUUCCCGGUGUAGAGGUGAAAUUCGUAGAUAUCGGGAGGAACACCUGUGGCGAAGGCGGCCAUCUGGACGGUGACUGACGCUGAGACGCGAAAGCGUGGGUAGCAAACAGG
RNAcentral lists this ribosomal RNA (253 nucleotides) under uncultured bacterium. Its description in RNAcentral is "partial 16S ribosomal RNA". It matches the Rfam family "Bacterial small subunit ribosomal RNA", at positions 524 to 776 of the family's 1533-position model. The record is from RNAcentral.